Molecule: long non-coding RNA, 1293 nt
Organism: Epinephelus fuscoguttatus (brown-marbled grouper)
Lineage: Eukaryota; Metazoa; Chordata; Actinopteri; Perciformes; Serranidae
Exons: 4
Source: RefSeq, a predicted model, not a curated record
GAGAGCUCAACUGUGCAUGCACUUUUCUAUUUGGUGCUUGUAGACGUUAUGGGAAAGUUGUCUCUCUCCCUACAUCUCUCUCCCUCUCCCCAUCCCUCCCUCCCUCCUUCUCUUCGUCUAUCAUGUGCUUGGGAUAUGCUCAUGCUUUGCACAGAGCAGCCGAAGCACGCCUAAUGCAGGCUACUGAGUGUUAGCGGCAAUUUUAAAGUGAUGCCCCCCCACCAAAUAUAAUACGGCUGGGAUAUUUGAGGGGAACAUAUAGGACCACGUCACGGUACACACGGACCCAACUGCACACCGCUGUUCUUCUGCUUGGGACGCUUGCUGGUCGAUUGCAGUGAUUUGACCCACCUUUAGGAAUCAUGGAGAAAUGGAGCUGUGGAGAACUGCAGGCAGCAGGAAGUAGAGGUCAACACAAGAUCUCUGGGAUUUUGCUCGCCACUGGACCCACUUGAGGUUGGAUGGAGACCUCGUAGAUCAUGACCCAGAAACAAAUGGCAUAAUGACUGGAGUCUCCAGGCUAAGACGUCAAGGAUAUUCAGCUGAUCUCAGAGGUAACUGAGUCCUGCUGGUCGACUAGAGAGGAGCCCAGAUUUCAAGACAGGAGCUUCAAGAUGUCUACUCAUAAUUCUCACAAGCUCUAGCAGCUUCACAUUACUCUCUACGACACUUGGACCUGCACUGAACUCUUUAUUUCUGUAUUUCUGUCAACUGGUUAUAUAAGAUUAUUGACCAAACUGACAAAUACUGUGACCUUGCACUGAUAUAAGAAUUUAUAUGUAUUUUUAUUUUGAUAUGGGACAAUACUUAAUAAGAAAACGGGAUGAAAGUAUUCCUCACAUUCAGACUAUUUCAUGUAAUUGAUUGAGUCUAACAAGUAUAUUUUUUGACAGCUAAAUAAAUGCAUUUUUUUCCCUUUAAGUGAUGUUUUAGCGUGAGUUAUUUCCUCCCUUCAGUGUAGUGCUUUGGCACUCCAGGUAAAGAACAAUGUGCUUGACAUAAUUGGGUCCUAUUUGGUUAUGAAAAGAGCAUGCGUGCUGAUAAAAGCUGGCAGGGUGAUCAAAGCACCGUGCGUCCUGAUCAAAAUCAUACACCUGACACAGUUGUAGUUUACCCAGACAGACGCAACGUUGGGAAACAGGUUCAGACAGUACCAAGAAGCCUCCCUGUUUAAAAUCGGCUCUGUUUCACAUUGUGUGCUGUUUUUUUUUGGUGUGCUACUGUGUGUCUAUCAAAUCAAAUGUACCUGUAUGUGCAAAAUAUGAAACAACAAUUAAAACUAGAGUGAUUCUA